UGGGGAAUUUUGGACAAUGGGCGAAAGCCUGAUCCAGCCAUGCCGCGUGAGUGAAGAAGGCCUUCGGGUUGUAAAGCUCUUUUAGUCGGAAAGAAAGCGUUGCAAUGAAUAAUUGUGAUUUAUGACGGUACCGACAGAAAAAGCACCGGCUAACUACGUGCCAGCAGCUGCGGCAAUACGUAGGGUGCGAGCGUUAAUCGGAUUUACUGGGCGUAAAGGGUGCGCAGGCGGUCUUGCAAGUCAGAUGUGAAAGCCGCGGGCUUAACCUGGGAAUUGCGUUUGAAACUACAAGGCUAGAGUGCAGCAGGGGGGAGUGGAAUUCCAUGUGUAGCAGUGAAAUGCGUAGAGAUGUGGAAGAACACCGAUGGCGAAGGCAGCUCCCUGGGUUGACACUGACGCUCAGGCACGAAAGCGUGGGGAGCAAACA
This 427-nucleotide ribosomal RNA is filed under the name uncultured beta proteobacterium. RNAcentral's name for it is "bacterial SSU rRNA". It matches the Rfam family "Bacterial small subunit ribosomal RNA", at positions 355 to 774 of the family's 1533-position model. Lineage: Bacteria; Pseudomonadati; Pseudomonadota; Betaproteobacteria. The record is from RNAcentral.